Molecule: ribosomal RNA, 466 nt
Filed under: uncultured bacterium
Lineage: Bacteria
Description: partial 16S ribosomal RNA
Rfam family: Bacterial small subunit ribosomal RNA
Source: RNAcentral
GAUGAACGCUGGCGGCGUGCUUAACACAUGCAAGUCGAACGGAAAGGCCCAAGCUUGCUUGGGUACUCGAGUGGCGAACGGGUGAGUAACACGUGGGUGAUCUGCCCUGCACUUCGGGAUAAGCCUGGGAAACUGGGUCUAAUACCGGAUAGGACCACAUUUUGGAUGGUGUGGUGGAAAGUUUUUCGGUGUGGGAUGAGCUCGCGGCCUAUCAGCUUGUUGGUGGGGUAAUGGCCUACCAAGGCGUCGACGGGUAGCCGGCCUGAGAGGGUGUACGGCCACAUUGGGCCUGAGAUACGGCCCAGACUCCUACGGGAGGCAGCAGUGGGGAAUAUUGCACAAUGGGCGCAAGCCUGAUGCAGCGACGCCGCGUGGGGGAUGACGGCCUUCGGGUUGUAAACUCCUUUCGCUAGGGACGAAGCGUUAUGUGACGGUACCUGGAGAAGAAGCACCGGCUAACUACGUG